Molecule: ribosomal RNA, 484 nt
Filed under: uncultured bacterium
Lineage: Bacteria
Description: partial 16S ribosomal RNA
Rfam family: Bacterial small subunit ribosomal RNA
Source: RNAcentral
AGUGAACGCUGGCGGCAGGCCUAACACAUGCAAGUCGAGCGGCAGCGCGGGGGCAACCCUGGCGGCGAGCGGCGGACGGGUGAGGAAUUCGUCGGAAUCUGCCUUUUUGUGGGGGAUAACGUAGGGAAACUUACGCUAAUACCGCAUACGUCCUACGGGAGAAAGUGGGGGACCGCAAGGCCUCACGCAGAAGGAUGAGCCGACGACCGAUUAGCUAGUUGGUGGGGUAAAGGCCCACCAAGGCGACGAUCGGUAGCUGGUCUGAGAGGAUGAUCAGCCACACUGGGACUGAGACACGGCCCAGACUCCUACGGGAGGCAGCAGUGGGGAAUAUUGGACAAUGGGCGCAAGCCUGAUCCAGCCAUGCCGCGUGUGUGAAGAAGGCCUUCGGGUUGUAAAGCACUUUUGUCCGGAAAGAAAUCCCUGGAGCUAAUACCUUCGGGGGAUGACGGUACCGGAAGAAUAAGCACCGGCUAACUUCGUG